UGCCGGGUCGUCUAAUGGUCGGACAGCGGUCUUUGAAGCCGCGAAUGAGGGUUCGAUUCCUUCCCCGGCAG
RNAcentral lists this transfer RNA (71 nucleotides) under Candidatus Sungbacteria bacterium RIFCSPHIGHO2_01_FULL_54_26. Its description in RNAcentral is "tRNA-Gln". It matches the Rfam family "tRNA". From Rfam's summary of the family: Transfer RNA (tRNA) molecules are approximately 80 nucleotides in length. Lineage: Bacteria; Candidatus Sungiibacteriota. The record is from RNAcentral. RNAcentral also lists the same sequence under 3 other names.